GGAGUCCCCAUUUUCCAAGUAGGUUCUGAUUUCCCGAGAGAUGGCAAAGGCCCUGGCAGGAAGUUUACACGGCCCAACGUAAACACGUUCUGGGGGAUUCUUUAAUAAUAAUAAUAGAGAAUUCCGCGUGCGCGGGGGGGAGUUGGCCUAAUGCCCCUGUGGGCUCGGCCUGCCGCCGCCGCGGGGCCUCCGACUGCGCACCCGGCCAGGUUCCGGAGAGCGGGCAGGGAGCGCGGGCCGAGGCUGCCCUCGCGCCCCUGGCUGCCGGCCUAAGGGCUCGCUCGCACGCACGCCUCCGCUCGUCACCCUCGCCUUGCCGGCGUGCGGACAGGGCCUGCGGCGGUGGGAAAUCUGGGAAAUCGGAGCGCAGCGCAGGACCGCGCGGGAGGCCGGCGGGACGCAGCGCGCACAGACCCCGCUCAGGGGAGGGGGUGCACCCGGGCGCCCGGCAAGGGACGUGGAGCCACAGAAGCAGAGCCCGCUCUGCAGGCGAAGGGUCUGCGCAUCGCCUUCUCCCUCACCGGGCCGCCGCGGCGGAGAUCAAUGCGACUCAGCCUCGUGUCCUGGGGAGCCCAGAGCUGCAGCCCCGGAGCGUGCAGGACUCGGGGCGCCCAAGGCCCGCAGCCCUGGGAGGCGCCUUCUGGAAGUCAACUCCAUGCACUCUCCAGCCGCUCGCUUGGCUGUGGGGCACCCAGGGUGGAUUUCCAGGGGCAGGAAGCUGUGCAGAGUUCAUUGGUGGAAAGGAUGAAUUAAGAGAAAACCACUCAGAGGAACAGAAAGGCAUCCUAGGCAUUUGAGGCCAGGAGCAGAGCUGAGAGGGCUGUCUCCCUCUUUCAUUGUAUGGGCUGCCCCGACAAAGCACCGUACAUGGCCUGGGCGGCUUAUUCCCGACAGACGUGGAUUUCCUGUUCCAAGGCUGGGCGUCCAAGCUGGGGUGCACCCGGCGGCCUGUGCUCGCUCCCCACUGCCAUCUCCUCACAUGGUGCGCUUGCCCUGUGACCAGUUGGGGGCAUGGGCCUCUGGCCCCCUGCAGUCAUCCUUUCGGUGUCCAGCACAGCAACAACCACAGACAUGGCAGGAAGGCCUGUAGCCAGGAGAGGGGACCCCAGCGCACCCCAGGAGCUGCCCCGGAGCAGCCCGCUCCCCAUGACUGCGGCCACAGAGACCGUGAGAAGCAGCGAGAGACACUGCUGAGGCCACUGCAUUCUAGCGUGGUUUGUUAGGCAGCCAGAAGCAACCAGAAGAAACCGGGUUUAUGUUUUAAAAAUAAACAUUUUAUUGAAACAUCACAGGGAAGGGACAGGGAAGCCCCCCGCCAGGGCAGCAGGCCCAUCAGGACGCAGCGUGUGCCCCUGGACGGCCCCCGGGGUGACCCCGCAGCCCACAGAGUGGCCUGGCAGGCGCAGAGGGAGACACAGCUCCCGGGCCAGUGUAGGUCUGCUCGCCCCUCCCUGUGGUGCACUAGGUCCCGUGGUGGCUGCCCUGAGCCUGGGCUCCCUGGUCCUCCUGGCCCGGUUGUGCUCCACGACGCAGUGGACACAGCUGUUGUCCCUUCUGCUGCAGUCACUGAGACCACCUGUGUGGGGUGUUUCUGCCGGGGGCUCAGGCCCUCGCCUGUGCACACCCCAGUCAGGGCUCGGUGCCCUCACUGCUGCCUCUCUCCCAGGGCCCUCGACGCUGCCACUACUGCCUGCUGGUGGCCUGGGCAGCUGGGCCAGCUGCCAAGUGACGCUGGCUCCUUUGGUUCCGAGUCAUGGACUUUAGAAGGUAGUACCCUGAGCCACAUGGGCGCCCCGCACCUGGCGCCCCACCUGGGAAAGCCCACCUGGUGUCCCCCACGGGUCUCUCAUGACCACAUGCAUCGGCGGGGCCUGGGGAGGCCCGGCCCGGGAGCGCUUUGUGCAGGGAGGAGUCCUAGGCCCCGGGCGACGGUGCCGGGUGGGAGACACUCAGAGCAGGGGGUAGACCCUCAACGCAGGACGCCGGGGUCAGGGCUGCUGCCCCAGGGGGUGCACGUGUACAUGGUCCUCGGCUUCUCGUGCCCACUCGAGGAGGCAGUUGGCCACACCUUCCAACUGCCAGCUUCCAAGACAGAGAAGACAGCGUCUGCUGUUUUAAGCCACCAGUCCAGGGGCUAAAUCCAGAUUUCUGUGCCUCAUCUUCCACAUAGGAAUAUAUGCAUGCUUUUG
RNAcentral lists this long non-coding RNA (2189 nucleotides) under Heterocephalus glaber (naked mole-rat). RNAcentral's name for it is "lncRNA (ENSHGLG00000042995.1)". The record is from RNAcentral. Lineage: Eukaryota; Metazoa; Chordata; Mammalia; Rodentia; Bathyergidae.